This 373-nucleotide ribosomal RNA is filed under the name uncultured organism. RNAcentral's name for it is "bacterial SSU rRNA". It matches the Rfam family "Bacterial small subunit ribosomal RNA", at positions 526 to 896 of the family's 1533-position model. The record is from RNAcentral.
CGUAGGGACCAAGCGUUGUUCGGAUUUACUGGGCGUAAAGGGCGCGUAGGCGGCAAUUCAAGUCAUCUGUGAAAUCUCCGGGCUUAACUCGGAACGGUCAGAUGAUACUGCUUUGCUAGAGUGCGGAAGGGGCAAUCGGAAUUCUCGGUGUAGCGGUGAAAUGCGUAGAUAUCGAGAGGAACACCUGAGGUGAAGACGGGUUGCUGGGCCGACACUGACGCUGACAGCGCGAAAGCCAGGGGAGCAAACGGGAUUAGAUACCCCGGUAGUCCUGGCCCUAAACGAUGAAUACUUGGUGUCUGGAGUUAUUAGUGCUCCGGGUGCCGUCGCUAACGUUUUAAGUAUUCCGCCUGGGGAUACGCUCGCAAGAGUG